Long non-coding RNA from Brassica oleracea var. oleracea, 780 nucleotides. RefSeq lists it as uncharacterized. The transcript has 3 exons. The record is from RefSeq and is a predicted model, not a curated record. Lineage: Eukaryota; Viridiplantae; Streptophyta; Magnoliopsida; Brassicales; Brassicaceae.
AUGUGUGUUGGGCUUUUAGUUUAGAAGUUGUAUCGGGCCCGGGUUACUUGAGAUCGCCCUCUAACCCUAGUUCUGAUGAAAGAAGAAACGAGCUCCAUCCUCUUCUUCGUGCGGCUACGAAUCGGUGACGUCUUAGCUUCUCCUCUCCAUGUUAAACGGUCCGAGUUAUGGCUGUAUCGAAGCGUCAUCUUCUUCAAUGCCCUCAUUAACAGUAUCUCUCCACUCCACUCCUCAUUAACCCUAAUUCAAUGGAUAUCCCAUUACAUCGAUUGAAGACAAAAAUGGCUGCCUCCUCUAUCAAGACAUAAUCUGUCUGAUUCUUAGAUGGAUAUAACUUCUUCGUAUAAUCAGAACAAUGCUUGACGAUGAGAUUCAAGGAGAAGAAGCUUCAGAACCUUCUCUUAAAAGAAGAAAAGAAACUGAAAGACCAAGCUCUGCUCUACUCAUUAAUUGCUCAUAGAGCAAAGGUAUGGGAAAUCUUUAUCCACAAAGAAGAUGAUCGUGUGCAAUGCAAUUGUUGUUUCUGUAAAUUUGCAGGAACUGAAAGUGGCACUUGAAACACGUACGUACGUGAGAUAGCUGAGUGUAUUUUAGUUCCUUUUUGUAUUUUGUUCAGCUCGAGUUAUAUGUGUGUUUAGGGCUUUAAGUGCAAGUUGUUUUCUCUUCUCUGUUAUUUGUUGUAAACUUGUGAUGUGAUCAUCUUUGGACUUUGAUCAAAAAGUUAGUACAAUGUGGGUUCGAAACCUUUUUCGAGUGUGGUGUAAUAUGUUUGAAACUGAA